UGCACCCCGAGUACCGCUGUUC
RNAcentral lists this microRNA (22 nucleotides) under Monodelphis domestica (gray short-tailed opossum). Its description in RNAcentral is "mdo-miR-12305-3p". The record is from miRBase by way of RNAcentral. Lineage: Eukaryota; Metazoa; Chordata; Mammalia; Didelphimorphia; Didelphidae.